UCAGGUGUGCCAGCCGCCGCGGUAAUACGGAGGAUGCGAGCGUUAUCCGGAUUUAUUGGUUUAAGGGUGCGUAGUGGUUAAUUAAGUCAGCGGUGAAAGUUUGUGGCUCAACCAUAAAAUUGCCGUUGAAACUGGUUGACUUGAGUAUAUUUGAGGUAGGCGGAAUGCGUGGUGUAGCGGUGAAAUGCAUAGAUAUCACGCAGAACUCCGAUUGCGAAGACAGCUUACUAAACUAUAACUGACACUGAAGCACGAAAGCGUGGGGAUCAAACAGG
This 275-nucleotide ribosomal RNA is filed under the name uncultured bacterium. Its description in RNAcentral is "partial 16S ribosomal RNA". It matches the Rfam family "Bacterial small subunit ribosomal RNA", at positions 493 to 776 of the family's 1533-position model. The record is from RNAcentral.